This 408-nucleotide ribosomal RNA is filed under the name uncultured bacterium. RNAcentral describes it as "partial 16S ribosomal RNA". It matches the Rfam family "Bacterial small subunit ribosomal RNA", at positions 28 to 526 of the family's 1533-position model. The record is from RNAcentral.
GACGAACGCUGGCGGCGUGCUUAAUACAUGCAAGUCGAACGGAGUGGCGAACGGGUGAGAAACACGUGGGUGACCUGUCCUGCACUCCGGGAUACGCCUGGGAAACUGGGUUUCAUACCGGAUAGUGUGGGAUGGGCCCGCGGCCUAUUAGCUUGUUGGUGGGGUAAUGGCCUCCCAAGGAGGCGACGGGUAGCCGGCCUGCGAGGGUGGACGUCCACCAGGGGACUGAGGCACGGCCCAGUAUCCUACGGUAGGCAGCAGUGGGGAAUAUUGCACAACGGGGGGGAGCCAGAUGCAGAGGCGCCGCGUGGGGAAUGACGGGCUUCGAGUUGUAAACACGUUUCACCAUCAACGCGGUAUAUGGAGAAAAAGCAACGGCUAACUACGUCCCAGCAGCCGCGGUAAUUC